ACUCGGCGUAAAGAGUGGUUAGACUCAUAAAUCCACUAAAGCCGAACGCCUUUUUAACUGUUAUACGUUCUUGAAGGCAAGAAGCCCCUCUACGAAAGUAGCUUUACUAACAUUGACCCCACGAAAGCUGUGAAACAAACGGGGAUUAGAUACCCCCCUAUGCGGAGCCGUAAACUUUGGCAACCUACUACAAGGGUUGCCCGCCCGGGUACUACGAGCAUUAGCUUCAAACCCAAAGGACUUGGCGGUGCUUAAGAUCCCCCUAGAGGAGCCUGUUCUAGAACCGAUACCCCCCGUUAAACCUCACCCUCUUUUGUUUUUUCCGCCUAUAUACCGCCGUCGUCAGCUUACCCUGUGAAGGUCUAAAUAGUAAGCAAAAGUAGCA
RNAcentral lists this ribosomal RNA (385 nucleotides) under Myxodes viridis. RNAcentral's name for it is "partial 12S ribosomal RNA". It matches the Rfam family "Bacterial small subunit ribosomal RNA", at positions 553 to 1107 of the family's 1533-position model. The record is from RNAcentral. Lineage: Eukaryota; Metazoa; Chordata; Actinopteri; Blenniiformes; Clinidae.